RNAcentral lists this ribosomal RNA (376 nucleotides) under uncultured organism. Its description in RNAcentral is "partial 16S ribosomal RNA". It matches the Rfam family "Bacterial small subunit ribosomal RNA", at positions 525 to 896 of the family's 1533-position model. The record is from RNAcentral.
GUAGGGGGGGCUAGCGUUGCUCGGAUUUACUGGGCGUAAAGAGCGCGUAGGGCGGCCAGGUAAGUCCGGGUGUGAAAGCCCUCGGGCUCAACCGAGGAUCCGCAUCGGAGACUACCUGGCUUGAGUCCAGGAGAGGAGGGUGGAAUUCCCGAUGUAGCGGUGAAAUGCGUAGAUAUCGGGAGGAACACCUGUGGCGAAGGCGGCCCUCUGGAAUGGUACUGACGCUGAGGCGCGAAAGCUGGGGGAGCGAACGGGAUUAGAUACCCCGGUAGUCCCAGCUGUAAACGAUGGGCACUAGGUGUGGGAGGUAUUGACCCCUUCCGUGCCGCAGCUAACGCAUUAAGUGCCCCGCCUGGGGAGUACGGCCGCAAGGUUG